UAUGAACUUUAUUAUGCUUCCGUAUCUUUUAUAAUCUUCAUCUCUCUUCUUUAUUCUCUUUUUGUCUACCCACUUAUCCUUUUUUUUUAUUCUUCAUCUCUCUUCUUUAUCAAUACUGCAUCCUUUCUCCAAAAUCAAGAACAACGCUGCAACUCUCUAUUUCUCACAGUAACCGCUCGGCUCUCUCUCAAUCGUUCCAGCCAUCUCCUCCCUCUAACUUCCGCCGCCGCGGCUCCUCCUCACACGACUCGCACACACCAGUCACAUCUCCCUCGCCUCUCUUCUCUCCCGUUGCCGCCGACUGCUGCUGCUUCGCCGAAGUCGCUGCUGCUUCGCCGAGUCGCUGCUGCUUCGGCCGAGUCGCGGUUGCUGCCUGGAACUGCUGCCGCUCGCCGCCUGCGGCUGGAACCGCUGCUGCUGCUCGCCCGCCAACUGCUGCUCGCCGCCUGACGGAGGCAACUGCUGCCUGAGCACCGAGCCGCUGCUGUAGGGAGGCCAACGAACAGCCGGGUCUCGAUCGCUUGUCGCACGGUCUCCGCCUGAAGUCGCCGAGUCAGCCGCCUUCGACUGCUGCUGUCGCCGAGGAGUCCGCCGACUGCUGCUGUUCGUUGAGGAGUCCGCCGGCUGCUGUUGCAGAGUUCCGACGGCCACCACCGUCGUCGGCUGCCGCUGCCUCGCCCAAGACCGACUUCUGCUGCCAAGCACCGAACGCUGCUGCUGUAGGGAGGCCGGCGAACAGCCGGGUGUUCGCCGUUUCCAGUUCUUCUCCGAGUUCCGAAGCCGGUGAGAGCUCCAUCAUCGCGUCGUCUCGUUCGUCUCUCGGUUCAGGCGAAGUCGCCCCUGCUCAGCUGGACGACCUCCGCCUCCUCUUCAUCGGUCCGCGUCGACGUCAUUUGGUACCCGUCCCCGGUUUAAUGAAAACAGUGCAAGGGGGAGCAUCAUAGAAUGGGAUUCAAUUUCUGUAAAAAUACUAUGGAUUAAUCUUUUUACAGCAACUCGUGGUUUGCUUAUGACCCAUGUGUGGAAUAAGGGAAGAAGGUGGAGCAUUGAAGACAAGCUUACCUUGAGAAUACUUGGUAGGAUGAAUUAAAGGCUCACUUCUCCUUGUGCAGUCCUCAAAUGAAGAAUGAAGAGAAUGCAACAAUGUUGGCUGUUUUGAAUGACGAGGUGGUUUGGCUGGGAGCUUGUAUACUUAGGUGUACUUGGGCAUGGCAGCCUGCUGCAUAGGCGUGGGAAAAGAAAAGGUGCAGCAAGCUCAAGAGGGGAUAGGGGAGUGUGCAGCACAUGUCUCCACCCCCUUUCUCUUUUUCCCAUUUUCUUGAACUUAGGGGGGGUGGCAGAGUACUGUAGCAACACUGUUGAGUACUGUAGCAAUAACUAUUGAGUACUGUAGCGGCACUGUAGCAACGACUGUUUGAGUACUGUAGCGGUACUGAUUGUUUUGUGUCUACAAUAAAUCUUUCAUUGGUUCUGUAUUAGAAA
Salvia miltiorrhiza (redroot sage) is the source of this 1482-nucleotide long non-coding RNA. RefSeq lists it as uncharacterized. The transcript has 3 exons. NCBI's taxonomy places the organism in Eukaryota, Viridiplantae, Streptophyta, Magnoliopsida, Lamiales, Lamiaceae. The record is from RefSeq and is a predicted model, not a curated record.